UGAAACUAGAUACAAGCGAGCGGCGGACGGGUGAGUAACACGUGGGUAACCUGCCCAAGAGACUGGGAUAACACCUGGAAACAGAUGCUAAUACCGGAUAACAACACUAGACGCAUGUCUAGAGUUUGAAAGAUGGUUCUGCUAUCACUCUUGGAUGGACCUGCGGUGCAUUAGCUAGUUGGUAAGGUAACGGCUUACCAAGGCAAUGAUGCAUAGCCGAGUUGAGAGACUGAUCGGCCACAUUGGGACUGAGACACGGCCCAAACUCCUACGGGGGGCAGCAGUAGGGAAUCUUCCACAAUGGACGAAAGUCUGAUGGAGCAACGCCGCGUGAGUGAAGAAGGGUUUCGGCUCGUAAAGCUCUGUUGGUAGUGAAGAAAGAUAGAGGUAGUAACUGGCCUUUAUUUGACGGUAAUUACUUAGAAAGUCACGGCUAACUACGUGCCAGCAGCCGCGGUAAUACGUAGGUGGCAAGCGUUGUCCGGAUUUAUUGGGCGUAAAGCGAGUGCAGGCGGUUCAAUAAGUCUGAUGUGAAAGCCUUCGGCUCAACCGGAGAAUUGCAUCAGAAACUGUUGAACUUGAGUGCAGAAGAGGAGAGUGGAACUCCAUGUGUAGCGGUGGAAUGCGUAGAUAUAUGGAAGAACACCAGUGGCGAAGGCGGCUCUCUGGUCUGCAACUGACGCUGAGGCUCGAAAAGCAUGGGUAGCGAACAGGAUUAGAUACCCUGGUAGUCCAUGCCGUAAACGAUGAGUGCUAAAGUGUUGGGAGGUUUCC
This 774-nucleotide ribosomal RNA is filed under the name uncultured bacterium. RNAcentral's name for it is "bacterial SSU rRNA". It matches the Rfam family "Bacterial small subunit ribosomal RNA", at positions 74 to 836 of the family's 1533-position model. The record is from RNAcentral.